Molecule: long non-coding RNA, 4121 nt
Organism: Musa acuminata AAA Group (dessert banana)
Lineage: Eukaryota; Viridiplantae; Streptophyta; Magnoliopsida; Zingiberales; Musaceae
Exons: 10
Source: RefSeq, a predicted model, not a curated record
AGCUUCCGUUGCCUUCUCUUCCUUAACGCGACUGUAAUCGUAUUUUAGGGUUUCUGAUGGGAUCCGAAGGUAGACGGAAGGUGCCGACCGACUCCAUCCCUUUAUGUCCCUAUGCCUAUUCCGUGAUUUGGGACAUUUUUUGCGGUGAAUUGCUGUGUAAAAGUUGGAUGUUUCUUCAUUUCUUAUCGAUUGAGGACGCAAGCUUCGAUUCUUAGAUGCUCGAGUUUGUUAGGUGCUGUCAGCUAACCUGGACAGAAUGAGAAAAGGAGACAAUGAAUGGAAUCCUUACUUGCAUGGGAAUUUGAUUGUAAAUAUUUGAGGAUCCAGCAUAUCUGCAAAUGUUCCUUUCUCAAUUGAACGCUCCACAUGAUGAGUCAGCCCCAUGGGAGGUUUCCCAGUGAGUAGCUGCAACAACAAGACUCCAAAAGAGUAUAUGUCAGACUUUAUGCCUAGCAUUCCAGUCUGUUGAUAUUCUGGAUCGAUGUAACAGAAUGUUCCAGCUGCAGAUGUCAUAUGAUACUGGGUGACACUGUCUGCCACAGAUGGGGGUACCAGGCGGGCUAGGCCGACAUCACUAAUUUUGCUCACAUAAUAUUGGUCGAGGAGGAUAUUUGCAGGCUUAAGGUCUCUAUGAACCAAUGGCUCUGGCUUAGUUUGAUGGAGGAAAAGGAGCCCUGUGCCGAUCUCUGCAGCAAUGCGGAACCUAUGCUGCCAGGGGAUGGGUGGUGUAUUUCCUCGCCGGUAUAAGCGGUCCUCCAAGCUCCCAUUUGCCAUGUAUUCAUAUACAAGGCAACCGUAUUCUGGGCAGGCACCGAGGAGAAGAACCAUAUUUGGAUGCCGAAUGCAACUUAGUAUUUCAACCUGGGCAACAAAGUUGAAACAUGGGAAAGGUUAUCAAUCGGCAAUUCUUCUAUAACAUGGGUCUAAUUCUUGUGAUCAUUUCAAAGUAUUCAUGUUUCUAAAUGAUUUCAAGAUUUCCAACAGUUUGAAAUGCAGCUGUGUGUGAUAAUACUAGAUACCUCUUGCUGAAACUGUGAUCUCCCUUGGGAUGCAUCUGGUCGCAGUGCCUUAAUGGCAACAGGGGUGUGAUCAAGAUAGCACCUGUAGACAGGACCAUACCCACCUUCCCCAAUUUUCCGGUUCUCUGCAAAGUUUUCUGUGGCUGCUUCUAUAUCCUCAAUUGUGUAUUUCCUAUACCUCAGCUAGGAUCAAGGCAGCUUCUUCUGCUAGUCGAGCUUCUUCUAGUCUUUGUUGUUCCUCCAUCUUCCACCGGUGGAGCUCCAUUGCCUGCAUCAAAAGAAAUCAUCACGAAAGGAACUCAAUUUUGGAGGUUUUCAUGGAAACAUUACCUUCUGUUUAGCCGUGAGUGCUUCUCUGCAUGCUGUGCUGUACAUAUCCAUUGUCUGCUUGAGCUCUAACUUCAGCCUAUUCAUCUCUGCUUUCACUUCUUCCUACAUGUUCCAAGGUAUGUGUAUUUAUUAUGUGAUCAGGCAUAAAGCUUCAAUAUGAUUGGAAUUGGAAGUGCACGUACCGACAUUUGAGAUGAAAAGCUCCCAUUGGAUCGAGGAGAGAAACCACUCCUAGAUGAGUAAGCAUCCAAUGAUGACCUGUGUGGUGAUUGCACUGACUCAAAGCUGCAAUCAAGGCCAUCUGAUAUGCAGGACAAUCUCUGCGGGAAAAGAUUCCGAGUCUCAAAUGCAGCAUUACCUGGCAAAAGGAAACUUAUUAGUUUUCUCCGGUAAAGAAACUAGCAAAAACUUGUCUUCACCAAGCAAGUGACAAGGAUUUGAGAUCGUAAAGGAGUAACAACUGGUGCUGAUCGGACAGCAUUUCUCAUAGAAGAGAUCUUCCCUUUGGAGAUGAUAUAAACUGUGCAGAAAUCAGGCACGCUUUUGCAGAUGUUGGUGCUGACGUCUGUGUAUCUAAAUGAUCUGAGAGAAAAAAGCUGCUUCUCUACUCCAGCAUGGGAAACAAAGUCAACAAUUGCCUUUGCUAAAUCGGUAUCCUCCAGUAUGAUAUCCUUGCACCUAACCUGUUAAAUACUCAAAACUGAAUAAGUGACUGAUAGUUCCAAGGAUUGCAUCUCCUUAAUUGAUUACAACCAUCUUGCAUGACAACUAUGAAAGAGUAUUAGCGGAUUGCAAGACUGACGGUCCAAUGUUUCUCUAAAUGAAAGGCAAACAAAGGCUUCUUAUCUGAAGAACAUCAUGGGCACUUCAUAUAAGAAGAGCAAACAAUCUUGCAUGACCAAAGAUCCGCAAAAGUUCUUUUUUUUUGUCUUACUAUGGAUUUAAAUACUGUUUCAAUACAGGUUUCAGUGAUCUUGUGGACCGUUCCAAACCGAACCGGUAUACCGGACGAUAUACUGAAUAAGAUACUAAAAAUUCAAAGGGGGUUACCCACAUUUUUGCGUUUGCAGAAGCACCGGAAUGGAACGAGCAGUUGACUGGCUGCGGAUGUCACAUCUUCUUGAUGACCCGCUGCAUCACAUCAGAAAGAGAAUGAGCAAACAACCUGGGAGCACUGAUGCUACCAAGAGCCAGGCAGGCGCCAUUGCUGCAACAAAGCUUACCUGAAAGCUUGGUGAUCACGUGGACGAGGAAGAUGGUUUGGCCCUUGACGGCGACGUUGUCCAGAGCCCACUUCAGAGCGUUCUGGCUGCUCUUGUCCUUGUCGACGGCCACCGCGAUAAGCGGGAACGACGAUCGAUCCGAUCCCUCCGGCAUCGCUCUUUUCUGGCAAAGAGAAGAAUAAGAAGAAGAAGAGAUGCAAAGAAAAGUAGCAGAGAAGGUCAGCUCCUCUGCCCCCUCCUCUCCCUUCUUUUGGUACCUCUCUUUCUCUUUCUUUGAGGCCACAGGGGAAGAAGGAAAGCAGAAGGUCUUUCUCCUCUGCUUCUCCUUUCUGCUGCCUCUCUUCUUCCCCUGCUGCUGCUGCUGCUUCUGCACCUCUUUGAGAAGUGCUACGGCCUAUCUAUUUGACUCGGAUGGGCGUAGAGGGGCUAAGGGGUGGCAGAGUUUUGCGCUUCACCUCUUGACCGAGUUAGUCCGUUCUAAUUUUCGGAGCCAAACGUGCCGUUCUAUGGAGCCAUUGGCUUCCGAUGGAUCCAAAUGCAAGACAAAUGGGCAUGCGACACUAAUAUAAUAAGAAGAUAUUACCAUUUGCAAUCUUUUUUAUUAUUAUAAUUUUAUUUUAAUUUUUUAAUUUUUUUAAAUUAUCUUUUUUAAAUGCAGGUAAAUAUUAAUUUCUUCUUCCUUCUCGUCUUCUCUCUCUCUCUCUCUCUCUCUCUCUCUCUCUUCUUUUUUUUUUUCUCGGAUAAAUAUUGACGACGAGCGACGUCGAUAGCAAGCAAAAAGAUGAUGUCACCUUUAAUUACAUCUAUAAUGAGUGUUUAGGGGUCAAGAACACCAAUUACAAAUAGACUGGAAAUUGCUACCAUCAAGUCCAUAAACCAAAGGGAAAGAAAGCGCCAUGCGCACUCAAUCAACAGGUGGACCUGCCGAUUCCAUGCGUUGAUGAGACUGACCAUCGGCAUCCGGCGAGCAGCUGGAGACGUUGAAGCCCGCGGGGGGCUCGCUUUUGCUCCGCCCCUUUCCCUGCUUGCUUCGUCUCCGGCUUUCCUCCCCCUUCUUGGCCGAGGAGCUGUCGCUGCUGCUCGCUUUGGGGGCUUCGAAGAGAAGCAGCACCUCCUCCCUGCUGCCGUGCGGGUCUUGAACGCUCUCUAGGGUGUCGACCACCUGGUUCAUGGUGGGUCUCCCUUUAGGGUUCUGGCUGAGGCAGCGGAGCGCCAGCCCGGCCACCUCCGCCGCCACCGUGCUCGAGUACUGCCCUUCGAUUCGUGGGUCCAUUAUCUUGGGGAGCUUCCUGCUGUGUGGCAGGAGGGGGCGAGCCCAGUCGACCAGGUUCUGUUCCCGAGCCGGCCUGCUCUUGUCCACUGCCUUCUUCCCCGUAAGAAUCUCCAGGAGGACGACGCCGAAGCCAUAGACAUCGCUCCUCGCCGUCAAGUGGCCUAUGACGAAUGAAACCAUGUGAUUUAUAUAAAGAAGGUAAUAUUAUUCUGCCUGCUAAAGAUUCGUCACAUAAUAUUCAACAACUCAAUCUAUUGGUACGUAUUUGGAUCUCUA